CGAUACUUUAAACACCCAAUUGAUUUUAUCAGCAAAACAUUUCAUACUUGAGUCAUUGGCUCAUUGCCCAUUAAUGGAGUGUUUUUUUUUCCGAAUUUUUAACCCAGAUUGAAGUUCCCUUCAUUGUUCUUUCGAAUCAGUCAGUGUUGUGGAUUUAACUAUAAUCAUAAGCACCCAAUCGAUUAUCUUUUAUCAUUUUUUAGCUCUGAAAUAACCUAUAGUUAAAGAAUCUCAUUAAUGGAGACUCGAACGGUUAUCAAUAAUGGAGGAUUUUGAAGUUUUCCACCAAAACCUUCUUCUAUUCGAAAUUUUUCAAUAGGAAAGCACCAUUUCUCAAGGCAAUAUGGUAAUGCCAUUAUCUAUGAGCAGCAAUAUCUAUAGAUGCAUACCAAUUUUUUAAAUGUUUCUCCCACAAAAUGAUCAGUUGAACAUCUUUCGAAGAACUGCGGUCAGCCAUACUGCAAAUGCAGUUGGAAGAACCCGUUCGACGAUGCAAUUCAAAGUAACUCG
Molecule: long non-coding RNA, 510 nt
Organism: Solanum verrucosum
Lineage: Eukaryota; Viridiplantae; Streptophyta; Magnoliopsida; Solanales; Solanaceae
Exons: 2
Source: RefSeq, a predicted model, not a curated record